RNAcentral lists this unclassified non-coding RNA (424 nucleotides) under soil metagenome. Its description in RNAcentral is "partial contains 5.8S ribosomal RNA, internal transcribed spacer 2, and large subunit ribosomal RNA". The stretch from base 1 to 120 matches the Rfam family "5.8S ribosomal RNA", at positions 35 to 154 of the family's 154-position model. The record is from RNAcentral.
GAUGAAGAACGUAGCGAAAUGCGAUACGUAAUGUGAAUUGCAGAAUUCAGUGAAUCAUCGAAUCUUUGAACGCAUAUUGCGCUCUCUGGUAUUCCGGAGAGCAUGCUUGUUUGAGUAUCAGUAAACACCUCAACUCCCUUUCUUCUUGAAAUGGAGCUGGACUUGAGUGAUCCCAACGCUUUAUUCAUAAAGUGGCGGGUUACUUGAAAUGCAGGUGCAGCUGGACUUUUCUCUGAGCUAUAAGCAUAUCUAUUUAGUCUGCCUAAAAAACAGAUUAUUACCUUUGCUGCAGCUAACAUAAAGGAGAUUAGUUCUUGUGCUGACUGAUGCAGGAUUCACAAAGACAGCUUCGGCCGACUUUGUAAACUCGAUCUCAAAUCAAGUAAGACUACCCGCUGAACUUAAGCAUAUCAAUAGCGGAGGA